RNAcentral lists this long non-coding RNA (1169 nucleotides) under Capsicum annuum. RNAcentral's name for it is "long non-coding RNA (CANN_LNC003951)". The record is from RNAcentral. Lineage: Eukaryota; Viridiplantae; Streptophyta; Magnoliopsida; Solanales; Solanaceae.
UACUGUAUACGUAUCCCUGGAACACCUCUCAAAAGCCCUGCUUGCUGGAUCAUCUAGCCUCGGUGCAUAUACCUGAAAAAGAAAAAUGGUACUAAAGCUUUGUAUUCAACAGUAAAAUUAAACAAAUUGAAGCUUGAAGUUAUACCAGUAUAGGUAUUUGUACCUGAUUUCCAUAAGCAUCACCAAAGGCUAGACUAAUUUGGUCUCUAGUUUGUGCUGGAGAAGAGCAGCUUGUCCUUAUGCUUACCGUAAAUGAACAGCGUGCAUUCUGCCCCUAGGAUAUUCAGAUUAAUUUGAAAAAUCCACACAGUUUAUUAAUCGGUGCUCCAACGAACAAUGUAAUAUUAGAGGCCUAAAGUCAAAAUCAAAUCGAGAUAUUAAACUUUCUAAAAAAUAAUAAUAUAUUAGUAGUUUAGUCUCUUUUUAGUUUCUUGAGAUGCAAAGUUGCCAAUAAUUCUUGAGAUAAGCCUUUCUUACCCCCAACUAUGGCCAAAAUUGCUUCGAUAUACUCCAACUUCACAUGGAUUUGUUAUCUCCUAAACUCAAUUUUAGUGUAUUUUUGCCAGUCCAACAUGACAAUUUUAUUAUAUAAAAAAAGAUUGAUAAAAAUAUGCUAAAAUUUAGUUCAGACCCCAUGAAGUUGAAGUGCGUUGUAGCAAAUUCGGUCGUAGUUUAGGGUACUAAUGCUUUACUCAUAAUUCUUUUAUAGAUUUCUUCUAAUUCUCCAAUUCUUUGCCUAAGUCACAACCUUAAAAGCUAGCCUAAAGGGACUAGAACUGUCCAAGCCUUAUCACCUGGGACUUGUUUUCAUUCUUCAAAAUAUUCAAUAGAUUUAAUCUUUCUAAAUUUGGGGCCUAAAACAAAUGCCAUUUUUUUAAACCUCGGCGCUGGAUUCCAAUUGUUUCUCAUAUAGCUGAAGGAAUGGAUGAACAAUGGCUGGAUAAUUAAUUAAAUAUAUAUUUUCUACUCACUUAAUAUUAUGAGAAAAAAAAAAAAUGAAUAAUGGGUACCUGGUGCAGAGUGGUGUUGAUUAUGUCGAGGGAUGAUAAAGGCUGGGGCAAGAACACGAUGGAUCUUGAUGCUUGGGCACCGCAAGUUAUGGAAGCAACGGUGAUGAUGAGAAGAAAGAGCAUUGCCGGCCGUCUGAUCAUGGUUGGUGACAUCGACAA